This 534-nucleotide ribosomal RNA is filed under the name uncultured bacterium. RNAcentral's name for it is "bacterial SSU rRNA". It matches the Rfam family "Bacterial small subunit ribosomal RNA", at positions 397 to 923 of the family's 1533-position model. The record is from RNAcentral.
ACCGGUGUGUGAAGAAGGCCUGAGGGUUGUAAAGCACUUUCAAUAGGAAGGAAUACCUAUCGGUUAAUACCCGGUAGACUGACAUUACCUAUACAAGAAGCACCGGCUAACUCCGUGCCAGCAGCCGCGGUAAUACGGAGGGUGCAAGCGUUAAUCGGAAUUACUGGGCGUAAAGCGUGCGUAGGCGGUUAUUUAAGUCAGAUGUGAAAGCCCUGGGCUUAACCUGGGAACUGCAUUUGAUACUGGAUGACUAGAGUUGAGUAGAGGAGAGUGGAAUUUCAGGUGUAGCGGUGAAAUGCGUAGAGAUCUGAAGGAACACCAGUGGCGAAGGCGGCUCUCUGGACUCAAACUGACGCUGAGGUACGAAAGCGUGGGUAGCAAACAGGAUUAGAUACCCUGGUAGUCCACGCCGUAAACGAUGUCAACUAACCGUUGGGUUCUUUAAGAACUUAGUGGUGGAGCUAACGUAUUAAGUUGACCGCCUGGGGAGUACGGGCGCAAGGCUAAAAACUCAAAUGAAUUGACGGGGGCCCG